This 406-nucleotide ribosomal RNA is filed under the name uncultured bacterium. RNAcentral's name for it is "partial 16S ribosomal RNA". It matches the Rfam family "Bacterial small subunit ribosomal RNA", at positions 28 to 526 of the family's 1533-position model. The record is from RNAcentral.
GACGAACGCUGGCGGCGUGCCUAACACAUGCAAGUCGAACGAGUGGCGGACGGGUGAGUAAUGUCUGGGAAACUGCCCGAUGGAGGGGGAUAACUACUGGAAACGGUAGCUAAUACCGCAUACCAUCGGAUGUGCCCCGAUGGGAUUAGCUAGUAGGUGGGGUAAAGGCUCACUUAGGCGACGAUCCCUAGCUGGUCUGAGAGGAUGACCAGCCACACUGCAACUGAGACACGGUCCAGCAUCCUACGGGAGGCAGCAGUGGGGAAUAUUGCACAAUGGGCGCAAGCCUGAUGCAGCCAUGCCGCGUGUAUGAAGAAGGCCUUCGGGUUGUAAAGUACUUUCAGCGGGGAGGCGUUACCCGCAGAAGAAGCACCGGCUAACUCCGUGCCAGCAGCCGCGGUAAUAC